AGCUCCAAUAGCGUAUAUUAAUGUUGCUGCAGUUAAAACGCUCGUAGUUGUUGUCCAACUGUACGACGUCCUUCGUGUGAAGUUCGUUCUAUCAGUUUAGUGGAAUUUGCGUUCCGCCAUUACCUUGAGGAAAGAUUAGUGUUCCAAGCAGUUCUCUUUUGACCUCCCCAGCAUGGUAUAACACCGUUUCGAAGAAGAUCAUUGCUAAGUCUUCAUCAUACUAAAUAGAAAUUCAAGGGGGUAUACGUAUUUUAAUGUCAGAGGUGAAAUUCCUGGAUUAUUAAAAGACGAACAAUUGCGAAAGCAUUAACCAAGCGACUUUUCU
RNAcentral lists this ribosomal RNA (325 nucleotides) under uncultured eukaryote. Its description in RNAcentral is "SSU rRNA". It matches the Rfam family "Eukaryotic small subunit ribosomal RNA", at positions 587 to 972 of the family's 1831-position model. The record is from RNAcentral.